GAUGAAACGCUGGCGGCGUGCUUAACGCAUGCAAGUCGAACGAAGCACUUUGGACAGAUUCUUCGGAUGAAGUCCCUGGUGACUGAGUGGCGGACGGGUGAGUAAACGCGUGGGGUAACCUGCCUCAUACAGGGGAUAAACAGUUAGAAAUGGCUGCUAAUACCGCAUAAAGCGCACGGUACUGCAUGGUACAGUGUGAAAAACUCCGGUGGUAUGAGAUGGACCCGCGUU
RNAcentral lists this ribosomal RNA (231 nucleotides) under uncultured bacterium. Its description in RNAcentral is "partial 16S ribosomal RNA". It matches the Rfam family "Bacterial small subunit ribosomal RNA", at positions 27 to 237 of the family's 1533-position model. The record is from RNAcentral.